This 2378-nucleotide long non-coding RNA is filed under the name Homo sapiens (human). Its description in RNAcentral is "HSALNT0138909". The record is from RNAcentral. Lineage: Eukaryota; Metazoa; Chordata; Mammalia; Primates; Hominidae.
UUGACGGAGUCUCGCACUGUCGCCCAGGCUGGAGGGCAGUGGCGCCAUCUCGGCUCACUGCAAGCUCCGCCUCCCGGGUUCACUCCAUUUUCCCGCCUCAGCCCUCCGCCACCACGCCCAGCUAAUUGUUUGUAUUUUUAGUAUAGACGGAGAUUUCACCAUGUUAGCCAGGAUGGUCUCGAUUUCCUUACCUCAUGAUCCCCUGCCUCGGCCUCCCAAAGUGCUGGGAUUACAGGCGUGAACCAAGGCGCCCGGCCGGAGUAGGAAUUUUAUGGGUUAUAAACUAAGGAUAUGGAGGUCGACUUGAGGAAGAAACCUGGAGUAUAAAAAUUCAGUUUGGAAAAAGACGUUUUGUCUCUUAAACUGAAGCACAUUCCUGCCAUUCAUUCGGACCAUACGAAGAUAAAACUAAAAACUUUUCUCUAAAGCUCCUGGUGAUGGUAGUUGAGUCAAUGAGCCACCAGCAACAACAAAGGACAAAAAGGUGUGUUGCUGGCAAUAUGUGGCCCCAGGGGAGAGGCAAAAGUGGAGGUUCCCGAGUCAUCUGAGAUUUGUUGCCUCGGAACAGGAUCCACAGCUCAAUAAUAGUCACUGUACUGUCAUUGUUUAUUUGAAAUCUAAAGGUGUAAUGCAAGAAUAUGCAAGACCACAGGGACUGGAGACACAAAGAGCAUCUGAAGAGAGCUUGAAUGACUCCCAACAGUUCCAGUCUCAAAGUUACCAUGUGCAGCACAGUCAGGGCAGCAUGUGAGAAGAACAACAAGAAAGCUGGGGUCUGCCAGAGAAGACGGAAGCCCUCACAUUAAACUGAGUCAGCUGGCAUCUUGAUCUUGGACUUUCAAAUCUCCAGAACUGUGAGAAAUAAAUUAAGGGAAGAGACAGCUUGGAGUCUCCCACGGAUACAUGAAUGCAUCUACCUGGAAAUAAUACAUCACUUCCACUCACGUUUCAUUGGCCGAAGAAUAUCAAGGGGAUGGGGAAGUUCAGUGACCACUCCCUUCCACCCCCACCAUAAACUGAAGGAAGAGAAGAACUGGAAACACAGCUUCAAACAGCAAGCACGCAUAAGAUCCUGGAGUAGUCCCCCGAUUUCCAAUGCAGGAGGUUGCUUGGUGGCAGAGCUCUGCAAGUGUCCAACAGCAGGCAUUCCAUGGAGCCGUGCACUGGCGUGGAGUGCCAGCCAGCGUCUGAUAAAGAAAACGAAGAUACUCUAACGAAGCAGGAAAACUUCCUGGAUGAGGCAGAUCCAUCUCAAGGCUUUGGAUAAAAGGCUGAAGCAGGAGCAAUUGGAUACCACAACAUUAUAAUUUUUUUUUUUUUUUUGCAUUAUUCCUUUUGCUUUUUGCUUACCAUUUUCUUCCCAUGGCACUGAAGUGGAAUAUCCCAAGUGCCACCGAACUCAGAGAACUCCACGCCGGAAUGGGGGUGAGACUGGUGUUGUACCUCUGGCAUAGGAUAAGGAUGGCAGGCACGUAACAUUACGAAAUGUAGGACAAAUUCAAGCGAAAGAGAGGGAGAGGGAGAGAGAGGGGGAGAGGGAGAGCUAGAGACAGAUGGCGGAUCUGGCUAGGAGCCAAAGCCAGUGAAAUGAAUUACAUUGCUGAAUAACUGUACACCAUUGAUUCUGCCACUUGUUGCUGCAUGGUUAAAAAAAUGAAUUUUUAAAAAGCCCCAGUGUAUGCUGGAAUCCCCUUAUUUGUCAUGUGUGCAGCAGACAACUUUCACACGUAACUCCAUCCUGACAAUGAUAUGCUGUGGGUGUCUUGCAUAGGUGUGUAGAUGCGCGUGAAUGUGGUUGCGUGCAUGUAGGUGUGCCCAAGAAAGCAAAUGUGAGUGUGUGUGCAUAUGUAUGUGGGAGGAAGGAAAAACAAUCCCUGCAAUCUAGCCAUUUUUGUUUAAUGAAGAAUGGAGGACUGGCAUUCAGAGAUGUGGUUAUGUGCUGCAUAUUAAUGUGUGCUUACCAGACAUUCUCCCCCACUUUAAAAAUGAGUGGCACAGGAGUGAAGCCCUCUAUAGAUCAACCACGUGGGAGAAGCAACUCAUGAGGUAGCAUGUCAUCUCUAAACCUACAAAUGUGGCACAAGGAAUUCCGCAGAAGAACAAGUUGCUCUCUGACAAGAAGAAAAGCUGGUCCCAGGAAUACGAUGUUUGGGUGUUUUCGAAAAGACAGCCAGUCUCAGCAGAUUGUUCAAUAAAUGCUUCAUACCCAGGAUGAAGGGAGACAUUAUGGGAUGCCCAGGGGGCUUUGGAAAUCAAAUACAAUGUUUGAGUAGCACAAUUUGAGGUACAUUAUAUAAAAGCAAUUUGAAUUGCCAAUGAGGCGACAUAUCUGCAUGCUAAUUAGACCUGUGUCAAGCUUAGUCUGCAGGCUUCUGUUG